Long non-coding RNA from Pseudopipra pipra, 310 nucleotides. RefSeq lists it as uncharacterized. The record is from RefSeq and is a predicted model, not a curated record. The transcript is spliced from 3 exons. Lineage: Eukaryota; Metazoa; Chordata; Aves; Passeriformes; Pipridae.
AACACCUGCAAGAGACCAGCAUUUCAAAUCAGUUUCUGCAUGCUGCUCCCAGGAGAGAAAAAAAGCAACAGAGCACUUAAGCAGCUUGUUCCAACCAAAGGAUAGUACAAAUGCUUCAGAUAUAUUUCCAAGGGAAGUUCCCUCUUUUGACAAAUGAACAUUUUGACACAGAUUAUACUUAGGUACCAUCAAACCCACAUAGCAAAGCAAAUGUCCUCUAAAUACUGUUCAAGAUUUCCCACAGGAAGAAAAUUUCACUAAACCCUCUGACAGGUGUGCAUAUUCAAACAUAAAUAACAGAAGGAAAGUA